GAAUUGACGGGGACCCGCACAAGCGGUGGAGCAUGUGGUUUAAUUCGAAGCAACGCGAAGAACCUUACCAGGUCUUGACAUCCCGAUGACCGGCCCGUAACGGGGCCUUCCCUACGGGGCAACGGAGACAGGUGGUGCAUGGUUGUCGUCAGCUCGUGUCGUGAGAUGUUGGGUUAAGUCCCGCAACGAGCGCAACCCUUAUCCUUAGUAGCCAGCACGUGAUGGUGGGCACUCUAGGGAGACUGCCAGGGACAACCUGGAGGAAGGUGGGGAUGACGUCAAAUCAUCAUGCCCCUUAUGAUCUGGGCUACACACGUGCUACAAUGGCGGCCACAAAGGGAAGCGACCCUGUGAAGGUGAGCAAAUCCCAAAAAAGCCGUCCCAGUUCGGAUUGUAGUCUGCAACUCGACUACAUGAAGUCGGAAUCGCUAGUAAUCGCGAAUCAGCAUGUCGCGGUGAAUACGUUCCCGGGUCUUGUACACACCG
This 486-nucleotide ribosomal RNA is filed under the name uncultured Clostridium sp. RNAcentral describes it as "bacterial SSU rRNA". It matches the Rfam family "Bacterial small subunit ribosomal RNA", at positions 907 to 1392 of the family's 1533-position model. Lineage: Bacteria; Bacillati; Bacillota; Clostridia; Eubacteriales; Clostridiaceae. The record is from RNAcentral.